AGCGUGUGGUUUAAUUCGUUGCUACACGAAGAACGUUACCUGGGUUUGACAUAUAGGUUGUAGGGAACUGAAAGGGACCGACCCUUCGGGGAGCCUAUACAGGUGUUGCAUGGCUGUCGUCAGCUCGUGUCGUGAGAUGUUCGGUUAAGUCCGCUAACGAGCGCAACCCUCGUCGUAUGUUAUAUGUGUCAUACGAGACUGCCGGUAAAAGCCGGAGGAAGGUGAGGAUGAUGUCAAGUCAGCAUGACCUUUAUAUCCAGGGCUACACACACGCUACAAUGGUCUGUACAAUGGGUAGCCAAGCCGCGAGGCGGAGCCAAUCCUGAAAGCAGGCCUCAGUUCAGAUUGCAGUCUGCAACUCGACUGCAUGAAGCCGGAGUUGCUAGUAACCGCAGGUCAGCAAUACUGCGGUGAAUACGUUCCCGGGUCUU
This 431-nucleotide ribosomal RNA is filed under the name uncultured Anaerolineaceae bacterium. RNAcentral describes it as "bacterial SSU rRNA". It matches the Rfam family "Bacterial small subunit ribosomal RNA", at positions 936 to 1382 of the family's 1533-position model. Lineage: Bacteria; Bacillati; Chloroflexota; Anaerolineae; Anaerolineales; Anaerolineaceae. The record is from RNAcentral.